Molecule: ribosomal RNA, 373 nt
Filed under: uncultured Synergistaceae bacterium
Lineage: Bacteria; Thermotogati; Synergistota; Synergistia; Synergistales; Synergistaceae
Description: bacterial SSU rRNA
Rfam family: Bacterial small subunit ribosomal RNA
Source: RNAcentral
ACUCUUCGGAGUGAGAGCGUACACAGGUGCUGCAUGGCUGUCGUCAGCUCGUGUCGUGAGAUGGUUGGGUUAACGUCCCGCAACGAGCGCCAACCCCUGCAUUCAGUUGCCAUCGGUAAGGCCGGGCACUCUGGAUGGACUGCCGGCGACAAGCCGGAGGAAGGUGGGGACGACGUCAAGUCAUCAUGGCCCUUACGGCCUGGGCUACACACGUGCUACAAUGGUCGGUACAAAGGGUUGCCAAGCCGCGAGGUGGAGCUAAUCCCAUAAAACCGAUCGUAGUCCGGAUCGCAGUCUGCAACUCGACUGCGUGAAGUCGGAAUCGCUAGUAAUCGUGAAUCAGAAUGUCACGGUGAAUACGUUCCCGGGCCUU